Molecule: long non-coding RNA, 292 nt
Organism: Lolium rigidum
Lineage: Eukaryota; Viridiplantae; Streptophyta; Magnoliopsida; Poales; Poaceae
Exons: 2
Source: RefSeq, a predicted model, not a curated record
UGUGGUUGUGGUGGUGAGACUGUGGUAUGGCUGCUGCUGCGCUGAUGUUCCUCGGGUGGAGAUGUUACUACUGCUUUCUUAGCCACGCUUCGACCUCGACGCCGGCGGGACGGUGCCACGGACGCAACCCCGGCGUCGCCUACCUCGCUACUUCCUGGAAAGGAGAACAAGAAAGGUUAAGAAGAUAUAGAUUUAGAAAUUCUUUUAGUUUCAUUUUGUAAUCUCAUAUUUCUUGUGUAACUUGUAAUAUUUCAAUAAGUGUUGUAAUAAUACUUAUGUAAUUUGUUAUUUA